Molecule: ribosomal RNA, 497 nt
Filed under: uncultured bacterium
Lineage: Bacteria
Description: partial 16S ribosomal RNA
Rfam family: Bacterial small subunit ribosomal RNA
Source: RNAcentral
GAUGAACGCUGGCGGCGUGCCUAAUACAUGCAAGUCGAGCGAACAGACGCGGAUCUUGCUCCUCUGACGUUAGCGGCGGACGGGUGAGUAACACGUGUAUAACCUACCUAUCAUACUGGGAUCACUUCGGGACACCGGCUCUAAUACCGUAUAAUAUAUUGAACCGCGUGGUUCAAUAGAGAAAUACGGUUUUGCUGUCACUUCUAGCUGGUUCCGCGCCGGAUUAGCUAGUUGUUAAGGUAACGGCUUACCAAGGCAACCAUGCGUAGCCGACCGGAGAGGGGGAUAGGCCACCCUGGAACUGAGACACGGUCAAGACUCCUACGGGAGGCAGCAGUCGGGAAUGUUACGCAAUGGGCGAAAGCAUGACGGAGCAACGCCGCGUGAGUGACGACGGUCUUCGGAGCGUAAAACUCUGUUACUAGGGAAGAACAAAUGUGUAAGGAAACAUGCACGUAGUGACGGUACCUAAUAAGAAAGCACCGGCUAACUACGUG